AAGUCGUAACAAGGUUUCCGUAGGUGAACCUGCGGAAGGAUCAUUAACAAUUUCCAUAAUACCCUUCUACCUUUGUGAACUGACCUUUGGCUGGGUUAUGCCGCUUUACCGCAGCAUUUAAACGUCCCGCAAAGGGUACCUGCCGUGUAUGUGGAGUGUGUGUGUGUGUCUGUCUGCCUAGCAGCAGCGCCCAUUCAUAGCCACAUGUACGCGCAAUACAUAGACUACUAUUUUAUUGUCUAAUUUUAAAAUUCUUAAACGAAUACAACUUUUAACAGUGGAUCUCUUGGCUCCU
Molecule: unclassified non-coding RNA, 295 nt
Filed under: fungal sp.
Lineage: Eukaryota; Fungi
Description: partial internal transcribed spacer region
Rfam family: Eukaryotic small subunit ribosomal RNA (bases 1-46)
Source: RNAcentral